GGGUUGUUAGCUCAGUGGAAGAGCAUCUGACUUUUAAUCAGGGGGCCGCGGGUUCGAGCCCCGCACAACCCACCA
Molecule: transfer RNA, 75 nt
Filed under: bacterium
Lineage: Bacteria
Description: tRNA-Lys
Rfam family: tRNA
About the family: Transfer RNA (tRNA) molecules are approximately 80 nucleotides in length. Their secondary structure includes four short double-helical elements and three loops (D, anti-codon, and T loops). Further hydrogen bonds mediate the characteristic L-shaped molecular structure. tRNAs have two regions of fundamental functional importance: the anti-codon, which is responsible for specific mRNA codon recognition, and the 3' end, to which the tRNAs corresponding amino acid is attached (by aminoacyl-tRNA synthetases). tRNAs cope with the degeneracy of the genetic code in two manners: having more than one tRNA (with a specific anti-codon) for a particular amino acid; and 'wobble' base-pairing, i.e. permitting non-standard base-pairing at the 3rd anti-codon position.
Source: RNAcentral